Molecule: ribosomal RNA, 429 nt
Filed under: Actinomycetes bacterium
Lineage: Bacteria; Bacillati; Actinomycetota; Actinomycetes
Description: Actinobacteria bacterium partial 16S ribosomal RNA
Rfam family: Bacterial small subunit ribosomal RNA
Source: RNAcentral
UAGGGAAUCUUCCGCAAUGGGCGAAAGCUUGACGGAGCAACGCCGCGUGAGUGAUGAAGGUCUUCGGAUCGUAAAACUCUGUUAUUAGGGAAGAACAAAUGUGUAAGUAACUAUGCACGUCUUGACGGUACCUAAUCAGAAAGGCACGGCUAACUACGUGCCAGCAGCCGCGGUAAUACGUAGGUGGCAAGCGUUAUCCGGAAUUAUUGGGCGUAAAGCGCGCGUAGGCGGUUUUUUAAGUCUGAUGUGAAAGCCCACGGCUCAACCGUGGAGGGUCAUUGGAAACUGGAAAACUUGAGUGCAGAAGAGGAAAGUGGAAUUCCAUGUGUAGCGGUGAAAUGCGCAGAGAUAUGGAGGAACACCAGUGGCGAAGGCGACUUUCUGGUCUGUAACUGACGCUGAUGUGCGAAAGCGUGGGGAUCAAACAGG